This is a non-coding RNA of Punica granatum (pomegranate), 2244 nucleotides long. The record is from RefSeq and is a predicted model, not a curated record. NCBI's taxonomy places the organism in Eukaryota, Viridiplantae, Streptophyta, Magnoliopsida, Myrtales, Lythraceae.
AAUAAAUUACUGUGCUAGGAGCUUCCUCUAACCUGUAGUUGCUGGUAAGCCUCGACAUUGCUGGGAUUGUGCUGAUGACCAACAAGCUCAAGAGGACCCUCGGAGAAGACUUCGGAGCCAUUGUCAUGAAGCUCCAGCUUCUCCCCCCUCCCCAGCAUCCUCCUCCCAAGGCCCCCCAUCCCCUCACCGGCCUCUCCUUUGCCUGUCUCCGACGCCUAUAUGACUGCUUACUUCUCUCCCAGUCUCCCUCCCCACCGCCCUCCUUUCUUUCUAUAUACAUAUGUAUGUGUCUGUGUAUACAUAUAUAUAUACACGAUUAUUUGUUUCCUAUGUUGUUCACAAAGGACAAUGUGAUGCGUUUGUUAAAUUGAACGCUGCUACUUGUGUGCGGUGUAAGCAGAAAGCAUUUCCAGUAUAUUUCUCUGAAUUACGUACGCUUGGUAAAGUUCUUGUUUGGUUGGUUUCUUUGUCGGCCGCUUUACUGUGUUACCGCGGCUCGGUCUAAUGCUUGGCAAAGUUUGGUUGUUAGUUAUUUAUCAUGUGGGUCGUCUAAGUGUUUGAAGAUUGCUCGCUUCAUACUGCUUUGUGAUGCACUCCACGUCAUUGUUGAUGAACAAUGAGCCGGCACCUAAUAAGUCUGGGCUUCCAAUGUGAUUUUCAGGUUCGACAUCGAGGGGCAUGUCACGGGGUUCAGGAAUCCAGACUGGGAGUGGACCCAUGAGCCGGACCAUGAACAUCUACCGUCGUCUCCACUCUAGUCGAUGAAGGCGCCGCUUGUGCCGGGAAAAAUGCUGUUGAUGAAAUGGCUUUUAGUAUCACUGGAGAAAAUAAGCAGCAUGGUACGCCCCGUAAAUCCUGCAGCACCUUCACGGGUACCUGGUGGAUCGUGCAGUGGAGCCGCUGUCGCUGUUGCUGCUGAUCUUGUUGAUUUCUCUUUGGCUUGUUUUCAUAUCAGGUUAAUCGCACCAGUGAAUUAUGGUCUGCCACGUAACUUUCACGGGAGCCUGCAUCAACUGAAGCCUGUGAUUAGUUCGUGCAAAGAAAGCUUUUGAGACCCACUAAGCUAGAAUUACCCGGUGGAUGGGGAGUUAAGCCUCAUAUUUUGAGUUCCAGGCAGGUAUCGAUACUGUUGGAGUCGUGAGAGUUCCUGCAGGGUACUGUGGUGUCAUUGGCUUUUGAUCUUCUCAUGGGGCUGUUUCCAGCAUGGGGAUCAUCUCCAUCUCGACAACUCUGGACGCUGUUGGUGUGGAUGUCUUAAACUCAUAAGUUGCAAUUUUUUUGUCCAAUGAAGUCAUUUCCAUUUCCUCUGAAAUCUUUUAUAUUUGCCUGUUGGAUAUCACGACAAGUGCCCUCUCUGAGUGUCCCUUAUAGCAAGAAAUGGUGGGGAUCGGUUCUUACUUGACACAGUUCGGGCCCUGUAUCAGACCUUGCAAGAACUGGCCAAUAUCACCGCCAGGGCUAAAUCGGCUAGGAGUGCUAUCACUCUGGAAAUUUCUGCUGAAAUCGCUACUGAAAAGGCACUCAAGCAUACAAAGAUAAACAGUGCAGAAGGCAAUUAAUUUCUAUACUGGACUGAAUGCCAACAAUGCCACUUAUUACAGCAAUAGCGCAGCUGCAAGUCUAGAACUCGGAAGUUUCCUUCAGGCCGAGGCUGUUUGUACCAAAGCUAUCACUCUGGACAAAAAGGGCAAUCUCAUCUCAGGGAUGACCCUUCUACUAUAUUAGAGUAAUGUGAAGGCCUGCUUAAGGAGAGGCACAGCUCGAGAGAUGCUGGGCUACUACCAACUUCAAUUACUCACUUGUCCUAGAACCAACCAACAAGAGAGCAGCCCUUUCUGCAGAGAGACUGAGGAAGUUGUUCCAGUAAUGGAUGAUUAAGUAUUGGCGUGCUUCCCUGCUCAUAAUGGCCUCAUCUUGCAACCUCUGCCAGAUUUAUUUGGCCUAGAGGAUUCCUGUUCAUUUAAGCAGAAUCACUUGUCUCAGAUGAUUAGCUCGGGGAUGCUCUACAAUGGAAGACGACAAUGGAUCCACUUCUUCCUCCCUAAGAUUAAGGUGUUAGGAGCAAAAGUAGGUAUACUUGACUAAUUGUUGUCAGCAGCUUGAUCUCGUUUUCCAUAAUUCUGAUGUGCUUAUCCAAUUUUGUUCAAUUGAAGUUUUACGUUCAGGCUGUAAUUCAAGCCCAACAGUUAGGUUUUGAUGGGAUCUGAAGACUAUCUUCAACUUAUUUAUCGAUAUAACUAUUAU